UCAGAAGUGCGAAUGCUGACGUGAGUAACGACAAAACGGGUGAAAAACCCGUUCGCCGAAAGACCAAGGGUUCCAGUCCAACGUUAAUCGGGGCUGGGUGAGUCGACCCCUAAGGCGAGGCCGAAAGGCGUAGUCGAUGGGAAAAUGGUUAAUAUUCCAUUACUUCUGUGUAAUGCGAUGAGAGGACGGAGAAGGCUAAAUCAGCCUGGCGUUGGUUGUCCAGGUGAAAGGAUGUAGGCAUGUAUCUUAGGCAAAUCCGGGGUACUCUAUGCUGAGAUCUGAUAGCAAGCUGUACUUGUACAGCGAAGUGGUUGAUGCCAUGCUUCCAGGAAAAGUCUCUAAGCUUCAGUUACACAGGAAUCGUACCCGAAACCGACACAGGUGGUCAGGUCGAGUAGACCAAGGCGCUUGAGAGAACUCUGCUGAAGGAACUAGGCAAAAUGGUACCGUAACUUCGGGAGAAGGUACGCUGUUGUUGGUGAUGGAACUCGCUUCCUGAGCUGACGACAGCCGCAGAAACCAGGCCGCUGCAACUGUUUAUUAAAAACAUAGCACUCUGCAAACACGAAAGUGGACGUAUAGGGUGUGAUGCCUGCCCGGUGCUGGAAGGUUAAUUGAUGGGGUUAGCGUAAGCGAAGCUCUUGAUCGAAGCCCCAGUAAACGGCGGCCGUAACUAUAACGGUCCUAAGGUAGCGAAAUUCCUUGUCGGGUAAGUUCCGACCUGCACGAAUGGCAUAAUGAUGGCGGCGCUGUCUCCAGCAGAGGCUCAGUGAAAUCGAAAUCGCUGUGAAGAUGCAGUGUACCCGCGGCUAGACGGAAAGACCCCGUGAACCUUUACUGCAGCUUGACACUGAACUUUGACCUUACUUGUGUAGGAUAGGUGGGAGGCUUUGAAGCUGGAACGCUAGUUCCAGUGGAGCCGUCCUUGAAAUACCACCCUGGUAAUGUUGAGGUUCUAACUCUGUCCCGUGAUCCGGGACGAGGACCGUGUCUGGUGGGUAGUUUGACUGGGGCGGUCUCCUCCUAAAGAGUAACGGAGGAGUACGAAGGUGCGCUCAGCGUGGUCGGAAAUCACGCGUAGAGUAUAAAGGCAAAAGCGCGCUUAACUGCGAGACCCACAAGUCGAGCAGGUACGAAAGUAGGUCUUAGUGAUCCGGUGGUUCUGUAUGGAAGGGCCAUCGCUCAACGGAUAAAAGGUACUCUGGGGAUAACAGGCUGAUACCGCCCAAGAGUUCAUAUCGACGGCGGUGUUUGGCACCUCGAUGUCGGCUCAUCUCAUCCUGGGGCUGAAGCAGGUCCCAAGGGUAUGGCUGUUCGCCAUUUAAAGAGGUACGCGAGCUGGGUUUAGAACGUCGUGAGACAGUUCGGUCCCUAUCUACCGUGGGCGCUGGAAAUUUGAGAGGAUCUGCUCCUAGUACGAGAGGACCAGAGUGGACGAACCUCUGGUGUACCGGUUGUGACGCCAGUCGCAUCGCCGGGUAGCUAUGUUCGGAAGGGAUAACCGCUGAAAGCAUCUAAGCGGGAAGCCUACCUCAAGAUAAGAUUUCCCUAGGACUUUAUGUCCUCUAAAGAGCCGUUCGAGACUAGGACGUUGAUAGGUUGGAUGUGGAAGCAUAGUGAUAUGUGAAGCUGACCAAUACUAAUUGCUCGUGAGGCUUGACUA
RNAcentral lists this ribosomal RNA (1663 nucleotides) under Acinetobacter baumannii 24860_10. RNAcentral describes it as "bacterial LSU rRNA". It matches the Rfam family "Bacterial large subunit ribosomal RNA", at positions 1282 to 2925 of the family's 2925-position model. Lineage: Bacteria; Pseudomonadati; Pseudomonadota; Gammaproteobacteria; Moraxellales; Moraxellaceae. The record is from RNAcentral.